This 344-nucleotide ribosomal RNA is filed under the name uncultured bacterium. RNAcentral's name for it is "bacterial SSU rRNA". It matches the Rfam family "Bacterial small subunit ribosomal RNA", at positions 136 to 507 of the family's 1533-position model. The record is from RNAcentral.
GUAAGGGAUAAGCCACCGAAAGGUGGUCUAAUACCUUAUAGUAUCCAUCUCGUAUGGAUUAAAGCUUUCGCGCUUCGGGAGGGGCCUGCGCAACAUUAGCUAGUUGGUGAGGUAAAAGCUCACCAAGGCGACGAUGUUUAGCUGGUUUGAGAGGAUGAUUAGCCACACUGGGACUGAGAUACGGCCCAGACUCCUACGGGAGGUAGCAGUAAGGAAUAUUCCACAAUGGGGGAAACCCUGAUGGAGCAAUACCGCGUGCAGGAAGACGCUUUUCGGAGUGUAAACUGCUUUUAUCUACCAAGAUUAUGACGGUAGUAGAUGAAUAAGGACCGGCUAACUACGUG